CGGGACUGGAACCGGCACUUGGCACCCCUUACGCCUUACGGUGGCCGCUGCGCCCAGUCACAUCUGAGCGGAGAAUUUAAUAGGCAAGAAAGAAGGAAGAAGGCUGAAGGAAGAAGCUCCCCACUACAGAGACAGACGGAGGGGGCUCCCAAGACGAAAGAGGAGACCCCCAUUCUAGAUGUUCUUAACCCUUUGAGGGCAAAGCUCUCCGUUUAAUGCCUUGCACAUAUCAGGUUGCCAACAACAUGGUGUGGUUUAUCAAUUGUGAUAGGUUACUUAUUCGAGCCCCUGUUUACAAGAGUUUUAGAUUGCAUUUCUCUGGAAUGACCACAGCAAUAUUUCCAGCCCUUGAUGAUCUUCUAGAACUUUGCCACUUCCCUGC
This 382-nucleotide long non-coding RNA is filed under the name Homo sapiens (human). Its description in RNAcentral is "HSALNT0376544". Lineage: Eukaryota; Metazoa; Chordata; Mammalia; Primates; Hominidae. The record is from RNAcentral.